Molecule: non-coding RNA, 1783 nt
Organism: Macrostomum lignano
Lineage: Eukaryota; Metazoa; Platyhelminthes; Macrostomidae
Source: Rfam
UGACCUCGGAUCAGACGUGAUUACCCGCUGAAUUUAAGCAUAUUAUUAAGCGGAGGAAAAGAAACUAACAAGGAUUCCCCUAGUAACGGCGAGUGAACGGGGAAGAGCCCAACACCGAAUCCCUUGGCGCAAGUCAACGGGAAAUGUGGUGUUAAGGUAGCCCUUCGUGUCAGUCUAGGCGUCUCAAGUCCACCUGAUUGUGGCUCAAGCCCAGAGAGGGUGUAAGGCCCGUAGAGACGCUCCGACUGAUUCCUGGGGUUUACCUACGAGUCGGCUUGUUUGGGAAUGCAGGCCAAAGCGGGUGGUAAACUCCAUCCAAGGCUAAAUACUGGCACGAGUCCGAUAGCGGACAAGUACCGUGAGGGAAAGUUGAAAAGAACUUUGAAGAGAGAGUUCAAUAGUACGUGAAACCGCUUAGAGGCAAACGGAUGGUGCUCAUACUGGCCUGAGGAAUUCAACUGUGACGGUGGCUGGACGAGCUGGCGUUCCGAUCUCUCUUUUGGGACGGGCGUCGGUUUGGCUAUCAGCUCCGACAUGGUGCACUUUCCUUGGUGCCUCCGCCACGACCGACGACACUGGCUACCCGCGGCUGGGGUAAGGUGACAAACUGCUUCGGCAAUUUGUGUUAUAGACCCCGGCGUCGGACAUGGUUUGGCCAGGACGUCGAGCUUGCGGCGCCCGCUCCUUGUGGGCUCGCAUGUUGGCUAGCUUGGCUGCGCCGAUGCUUGCACUGGACAACCAGUACAGGUGACGGUUGUGGUCUUGUCUCUAGUUGGCCUCUGCGAGUUUGGCGCCUAUAGUCUGUGGUGUACUUGUGGGUAGACUAUCCGACCCGUCUUGAAACACGGACCAAGGAGUCUAACAUGUGCGCGAGUCAUGGGGAUUCUACGAAACCCAAAGGCGCAGUGAAAGUAAAGGCCUGCUUCUCGUAGGCUGAGGUGGGAUCUCGUGCAUCGCGAUUGGCGAGCGCACCACCGGCCCGUCCUAUCUGUCUCUGUCAGUGGGGCGGCGCAAGAGCGUACACGUUGGGACCCGAAAGAUGGUGAACUAUGCUUGCGCAGCUCGAAGUCAGUGGAAACACUGAUGGAGGAGCGCAGCGUUUCUGACGUGCAAAUCGAUCGUCAAACGUGAGUAUAGGGGCGAAAGACUAAUCGAACCAUCUAGUAGCUGGUUCCCUCCGAAGUUUCCCUCAGGAUAGCUGGCACUCGGGAAACAGUUUUAUCCGGUAAAGCGAAUGAUUAGAGGCAUUGGGGUCGAAACGACCUCGACCUAUUCUCAAACUUUAAAUGGGUAAGAUGCUCGUCUCGCUUAAUUGGAGGCGGGCUUCACCUCUCUAUAAACGUGAAUGUGAGUGCCCAGUGGGCCAUUUUUUGGUAAGCAGAACUGGCGCUGUGGGAUGAACCAAACGCGCGGUUAAGGCGCCCAAUGCGGACGCUCAUGAGACACCACAAAAGGUGUUGGUCGAUACUGACAGCAGGACGGUGGCCAUGGAAGUCGGAACCCGCUAAGGAGUGUGUAACAACUCACCUGCCGAAUCAACCAGCCCUGAAAAUGGAUGGCGCUGGAGCGUCGGGCCUAUACCGUGCCGUUGGGGCGAAGCAGACAAAUAAUCUGUGUGGAUGUCCAACGAGUAGGAGGGUCGCCGUGGUGAGCGCAGAAGGUGCGGCCGUGAGGCCGGCUGGAGCCGCACGGGCGCAGAUCUUGGUGUGGUAGUAGCAAUUACUCAAGUGAGAACCUUGAGGACUGAAGUGGAGAAGGGUUCCAUGUGGAACAGCAGUUGAAC